UACGAAGGGGGCUAGCGUUGCUCGGAAUUACUGGGCGUAAAGGGCGCGUAGGCGGAUAUUUAAGUUAGAGGUGAAAGCCCAGGGCUCAACCCUGGAAUAGCCUUUAAUACUGGAUAUCUUGAGUUCGGGAGAGGUGAGUGGAACUCCGAGUGUAGAGGUGAAAUUCGUAGAUAUUCGGAAGAACACCAGUGGCGAAGGCGACUCACUGGCCCGAUACUGACGCUGAGGCGCGAAAGCGUGGGGAGCAAACAGGG
RNAcentral lists this ribosomal RNA (254 nucleotides) under uncultured bacterium. Its description in RNAcentral is "partial 16S ribosomal RNA". It matches the Rfam family "Bacterial small subunit ribosomal RNA", at positions 524 to 777 of the family's 1533-position model. The record is from RNAcentral.